AUUGAACGCUGGCGGCAGGCCUAACACAUGCAAGUCGAGCGGAGGAAGGGAGCUUGCUCCUGGAUUCAGCGGCGGACGGGUGAGUAAUUCCUAGGAAUCUGCCUGGUAGUGGGGGAUAACGUCCGGAAACGGGCGCUAAUACCGCAUACGUCAUGAGGGAGAAAGUGGGGGAUCUUCGUACCUCACGCUAUCAGAUGAGCCUAGGUCGGAUUAGCCAGUUGGUGGGGUAAAGGCCUACCAAGGCGACGAUCCGUAACUGGUCUGAGAGGAUGAUCAGUCACACUGGAACUGAGAAACGGUCCAGACUCCUACGGGGGGAAGCAGUGGGGAAUAUUGGACAAUGGGCGAAAGCCUGAUCCAGACAUGCCGCGUGUGUGAAGAAGGUCUUCGGAUUGUAAAGCACGUUAAGUUGGGAGGAAGGGCAGUAAGUUAAUACCUCGCUGUUUUGACGUUACCAACAGAGUAAGCACCGGCUAACUUCGUG
RNAcentral lists this ribosomal RNA (484 nucleotides) under uncultured bacterium. Its description in RNAcentral is "partial 16S ribosomal RNA". It matches the Rfam family "Bacterial small subunit ribosomal RNA", at positions 30 to 507 of the family's 1533-position model. The record is from RNAcentral.